Molecule: ribosomal RNA, 465 nt
Filed under: Vreelandella stevensii
Lineage: Bacteria; Pseudomonadati; Pseudomonadota; Gammaproteobacteria; Oceanospirillales; Halomonadaceae
Description: partial 16S ribosomal RNA
Rfam family: Bacterial small subunit ribosomal RNA
Source: RNAcentral
CCUACGGGAGGCUGCAGUGGGGAAUAUUGGACAAUGGGCGAAAGCCUGAUCCAGCCAUGCCGCGUGUGUGAAGAAGGCCUUCGGGUUGUAAAGCACUUUCAGUGGGGACGAAAGCCUUGGGGCUAAUACCCUCGAGGAAGGACAUCACCCACAGAAGAAGCACCGGCUAACUACGUGCCAGCAGCCGCGGUAAUACGGAGGGUGCGAGCGUUAAUCGGAAUUACUGGGCGUAAAGCGCGCGUAGGCGGUCUGAUAAGCCGGUUGUGAAAGCCCCGGGCUCAACCUGGGAACGGCAUCCGGAACUGUCAGGCUAGAGUGCAGGAGAGGAAGGUAGAAUUCCCGGUGUAGCGGUGAAAUGCGUAGAGAUCGGGAGGAAUACCAGUGGCGAAGGCGGCCUUCUGGACUGACACUGACGCUGAGGUGCGAAAGCGUGGGUAGCAAACAGGAUUAGAUACCCUAGUAGUC